RNAcentral lists this non-coding RNA (45 nucleotides) under Schistosoma margrebowiei. The record is from RNAcentral. Lineage: Eukaryota; Metazoa; Platyhelminthes; Trematoda; Strigeidida; Schistosomatidae.
AUCCAGCUGAUAAGUCCCAAACAGGACGAAGCGCGCGUCUCGGAU